CAGUCGCCGCGGUAAUACGUAGGUGGCAAGCGUUGUCCGGAAUUAUUGGGCGUAAAGGGCUCGCAGGCAGUUUCUUAAGCCUGAUGUGAAAGCCCCCGGCUCAACCGGGGAGGGUCAUUGGAAACUGGGAAACUUGAGUGCAGAAGAGGAGAGUGGAAUUCCACGUGUAGCGGUGAAAUGCGUAGAGAUGUGGAGGAACACCAGUGGCGAAGGCGACUCUCUGGUCUGUAACUGACGCUGAGGAGCGAAAGCGUGGGGAGCGAACAGGAUUAGAUACCCCAGUAGUCCCUGUCUCUUAUAA
This 301-nucleotide ribosomal RNA is filed under the name uncultured bacterium. Its description in RNAcentral is "partial 16S ribosomal RNA". It matches the Rfam family "Bacterial small subunit ribosomal RNA", at positions 509 to 809 of the family's 1533-position model. The record is from RNAcentral.